ACGGGUAGCCGGCCUGAGAGGGUGACCGGCCACAUUGGGACUGAGAUACGGCCCAGACUCCUACGGGAGGCAGCAGUGGGGAAUAUUGCACAAUGGGCGGAAGCCUGAUGCAGCAACGCCGCGUGCGGGAUGACGGCCUUCGGGUUGUAAACCGCUUUCGCCUGUGACGAAGCGUGAGUGACGGUAAUGGGUAAAGAAGCACCGGCUAACUACGUGCCAGCAGCCGCGGUGAUACGUAGGGUGCGAGCGUUGUCCGGAUUUAUUGGGCGUAAAGGGCUCGUAGGUGGUUGAUCGCGUCGGAAGUGUAAUCUUGGGGCUUAACCCUGAGCGUGCUUUCGAUACGGGUUGACUUGAGGAAGGUAGGGGAGAAUGGAAUUCCUGGUGGAGCGGUGGAAUGCGCAGAUAUCAGGAGGAACACCAGUGGCGAAGGCGGUUCUCUGGGCCUUUCCUGACGCUGAGGAGCGAAAGCGUGGGGAGCGAACAGGCUUAGAUACCCUGGUAGUCCACGCUGUAAACGGUGGGUACUAGGUGUGGGGUCCAUUCCACGGGUUCCGUGCCGUAGCUAACGCUUUAAGUACCCCGCCUGGGGAGUACGGCCGCAAGGCUAAAACUCAAAGGAAUUGACGGGGCCCCGCACAAGCGGCGGAGCAUGCGGAUUAAUUCGAUGCAACGCGUAGAACCUUACCUGGGUUUGACAUGGAUCGGGAGUGCUCAGAGAUGGGUGUGCCUCUUUUGGGGUCGGUUCACAGGUGGUGCAUGGCUGUCGUCAGCUCGUGUCGUGAGAUGUUGGGUUAAGUCCCGCAACGAGCGCAACCCUUGUUCACUGUUGCCAGCACGUUAUGGUGGGGACUCAGUGGAGACCGCCGGGGUCAACUCGGAGGAAGGUGGGGAUGACGUCAAGUCAUCAUGCCCCUUAUGUCCAGGGCUUCACGCAUGCUACAAUGGCUGGUACAGAGAGUGGCGAGCCUGUGAGGGUGAGCGAAUCUCGGAAAGCCGGUCUCAGUUCGGAUUGGGGUCUGCAACUCGACCUCAUGAAGUCGGAGUCGCUAGUAAUCGCAGAUCAGCAACGCUGCGGUGAAUACGUUCCCGGGGCUUGUACACACCGCCCGUCAAGUCAUGAAAGUUGGUAACACCCGAAGCCGGUGGCCUAACCGUUGUGGGGGAGCCGUCGAAGGUGGGACUGGUGAUUAGGACUAAGUCGUAACAAGGUAGCCGUACCGGAAG
RNAcentral lists this ribosomal RNA (1224 nucleotides) under Cutibacterium acnes. Its description in RNAcentral is "bacterial SSU rRNA". It matches the Rfam family "Bacterial small subunit ribosomal RNA", at positions 279 to 1511 of the family's 1533-position model. Lineage: Bacteria; Bacillati; Actinomycetota; Actinomycetes; Propionibacteriales; Propionibacteriaceae. The record is from RNAcentral.